Molecule: long non-coding RNA, 458 nt
Organism: Alosa alosa (allis shad)
Lineage: Eukaryota; Metazoa; Chordata; Actinopteri; Clupeiformes; Clupeidae
Exons: 3
Source: RefSeq, a predicted model, not a curated record
AUGGAGAUGUCGUGGAGAAUAGUCUGGCCAUUCCUGGCGGUGUCUGCUGUCUUGUCUCUUCAGAUGGCUGGCAACAUACUGGAUAUCCCCAACUUAUCAUUUGUCCUAUCCAUUGCUAGAACUAUAGGCAACUGCAGUUUUACACUCAGACUCACCUUGCAGUUUGACAUGUUGGAACAGGAGACUAGAUGGAACAUGAAUCUAACCUUCAUGGAGAUGUCGUGGAGAAUAGUCUGGCCAUUCCUGGCGGUGUCUGCUGUCUUGUCUCUUCAGAUGGCUGGCAACAUACUGGAUAUCCCCAACUUAUCAUUUGUCCUAUCCAUUGCUAGAACUAUAGGCAACUGCAGUUUUACACUCAGACUCACCUUGCAGUUUGACAUGUUGGAACAGGAGACUAGAUGGAACAUGAAUCUAACCUUCAUGGAGAUGUCGUGGAGAAUAGUCUGGCCAUUCCUGGC